GUCUAGGCUUCAAAAGAAGAAUAUGCCCCUUGCUGGAGCUGAGACAUAAGGAAAUUUUGGAACUGAAAAAGCCAAUCUAGCUCAGCACUUCUGCUAUUUAUUUGGUUUUGGAGUUGUGAAGAUGGAAUUAAUUGCCUCCCAUCUAUAUUGUUUGGCCUAAUAUUCCUGUAUACUAAAAUGCAGAUAAAGCCUGAAUUAAGAGCCAAGUGAAGUAUUGUCCGGAGCUGUAAUAGCAUGUUUGGCAGCUGUAUGGCAGUCAGCUGCACACACAACAAUGGUAGUGUCAACAGGACGGCCUUUCAUGAGGACCAGAUGGCCCUUAAGGUCUGCUUUCAGUCUGUUACUGAACACCAAGGCUAAUAUUCUUCUCCUAAUGUGACACUGUUGGAACAGAGAUUUCAAAGCAUGCAGCCUCUGACAAUUACCCGACAGAGCAGAAUGAAUAGAAGACACCG
Molecule: long non-coding RNA, 455 nt
Filed under: Phasianus colchicus (ring-necked pheasant)
Lineage: Eukaryota; Metazoa; Chordata; Aves; Galliformes; Phasianidae
Description: lncRNA (ENSPCLG00000007919.1)
Source: RNAcentral